This 373-nucleotide unclassified non-coding RNA is filed under the name uncultured fungus. RNAcentral describes it as "partial contains small subunit ribosomal RNA, internal transcribed spacer 1, and 5.8S ribosomal RNA". The stretch from base 1 to 133 matches the Rfam family "Eukaryotic small subunit ribosomal RNA", at positions 1759 to 1831 of the family's 1831-position model. The record is from RNAcentral. Lineage: Eukaryota; Fungi.
GCAAACUUGGUCAUUUAGAGGAAGUAAAAGUCGUAACAAGGUUUCCGUAGGUGAGUAAUAUUAGUAGUGUUUCCGCUUUGAAGUGUGAAUAAGGUGCUAACUUGUUUUAGGUGAACCUGCGGAAGGAUCAUUACUGAUUCUAAAGGAUGUGCUGGCCUCACAAGGCAAAAAUAAAGUGCACUCCGAAACCUCAUACCCCUGUGCAUCCAUUGUAGUCCAGCAUUAAGGGAGAACUCAGUUCUUCUGCUGUGACUAUGUUUUUAUACACUAUUCGAAUUUUAUAGAAUGUAUCUAGACCUUAACAAAGUCUAAUAAACAUAAUAUAACUUUCAACAACGGAUCUCUUGGUUCUCGCAUCGAUGAAGAACGCAGC